GUGAACGCUGGCGGCGUGCCUAACACAUGCAAGUCGAACGAUGAUAGGAAGCUUGCUUCCUUGAUUAGUGGCGCACGGGUGAGUAUACCAUAGAUAAUGUACCUCUUAGUUCGGGAUAGCCACUGGAAACGGUGAUUAAUACUAGAUACACCUUUUUAACAUAAGUUAAAUCGGGAAAUGUCUUUUCGCUUCGAGAUCAGACUAUAUCCUAUCAGUUAGUUGGUGAGGUAAUGGCUCACCAAGGCAAUGACGGGUAGCGGUUCUGAGAGGAUGAUCCGCCACACUGGUACUGAGACACGGACCAGACUCCUACGGGAGGCAGCAGUGAGGAAUAUUGCACAAUGGGGGGAACCCUGAUGCAGCAACGCCGCGUGGAGGAUGACGCAUUUCGGUGUGUAAACUCCUUUUAUAUGUCAAGAAAAUGACGGUAGCAUAUGAAUAAGCACCGGCUAACUCCGU
This 459-nucleotide ribosomal RNA is filed under the name uncultured bacterium. Its description in RNAcentral is "bacterial SSU rRNA". It matches the Rfam family "Bacterial small subunit ribosomal RNA", at positions 29 to 506 of the family's 1533-position model. The record is from RNAcentral.